This 501-nucleotide ribosomal RNA is filed under the name uncultured bacterium. RNAcentral's name for it is "partial 16S ribosomal RNA". It matches the Rfam family "Bacterial small subunit ribosomal RNA", at positions 30 to 523 of the family's 1533-position model. The record is from RNAcentral.
AUUGAACGCUGGCGGCAGGCUUAACACAUGCAAGUCGAGCGGGGAAGGGUAGCUUGCUACCUGACCUAGCGGCGGACGGGUGAGUAAUGCUUAGGAAUCUGCCUAUUAGUGGGGGACAACAUUCCGAAAGGAAUGCUAAUACCGCAUACGCCCUACGGGGGAAAGCAGGGGAUCUUCGGACCUUGCGCUAAUAGAUGAGCCUAAGUCAGAUUAGCUAGUUGGUGGGGUAAAGGCCUACCAAGGCGACGAUCUGUAGCGGGUCUGAGAGGAUGAUCCGCCACACUGGGACUGAGACACGGCCCAGACUCCUACGGGAGACAGCAGUGGGGAAUAUUGGACAAUGGGCGCAAGCCUGAUCCAGCCAUGCCGCGUGUGUGAAGAAGGCCUUUUGGUUGUAAAGCACUUUAAGCGAGGAGGAGGCUACUUGGAUUAAUACUCUGGGAUAGUGGACGUUACUCGCAGAAUAAGCACCGGCUAACUCUGUGCCAGCCGCCGCCGUAA